This 487-nucleotide ribosomal RNA is filed under the name uncultured bacterium. RNAcentral's name for it is "bacterial SSU rRNA". It matches the Rfam family "Bacterial small subunit ribosomal RNA", at positions 28 to 508 of the family's 1533-position model. The record is from RNAcentral.
GACGAACGCUGGCGGCGUGCCUAACACAUGCAAGUCGAGCGGGGUUGAGGCGAGAGGUAACUCGAACUUCUACCUAGCGGCGGACGGGUGAGUAACGCGUGGGCAACCUGCCUCAAGGUUUGGGAUAACAGCCCGAAAGGGCUGCUAAUACCGGAUAUGCCUAUGGCCUCGCAUGGGGCUAUGAGCAAAGGGGAAACCCGCCUUGAGAUGGGCCCGCGUCCCAUCAGCUAGUUGGUGAGGUAACAGCUCACCAAGGCGACGACGGGUAGCCGGCCUGAGAGGGUGACCGGCCACACUGGGACUGAGACACGGCCCAGACUCCUACGGGGGGCAACAGUGGGGGAUCUUGCACAAUGGGCGAAAGCCUGAUGCAGCGACGCCGCGUGAGCGAAGAAGGCCUUCGGGUUGUAAAGCUCUGUCUGGAGGGACGGAACAAAAUAGUACGGUACCCGUUCCGGACGGGAAGCCGACGGGCCUAACUACGUCG